AGUGAACGCUGGCGGUAGGCCUAACACAUGCAAGUCGAACGGCAGCACAGUAAGAGCUUGCUCUUACGGGUGGCGAGUGGCGGACGGGUGAGGAAUACAUCGGAAUCUACUUUUUCGUGGGGGAUAACGUAGGGAAACUUACGCUAAUACCGCAUACGACCUACGGGUGAAAGCAGGGGAUCUUCGGACCUUGCGCGAUUGAAUGAGCCGAUGUCGGAUUAGCUAGUUGGCGGGGUAAAGGCCCACCAAGGCGACGAUCCGUAGCUGGUCUGAGAGGAUGAUCAGCCACACUGGAACUGAGACACGGUCCAGACUCCUACGGGGGGCAGCAGUGGGGAAUAUUGGACAAUGGGCGCAAGCCUGAUCCAGCCAUACCGCGUGGGUGAAGAAGGCCUUCGGGUUGUAAAGCCCUUUUGUUGGGAAAGAAAAGCAGCAGGUUAAUACCCCGCUGUUUUGACGGUACCCAAAGAAUAAGCACCGGCUAACUUCGUG
Molecule: ribosomal RNA, 492 nt
Filed under: uncultured bacterium
Lineage: Bacteria
Description: partial 16S ribosomal RNA
Rfam family: Bacterial small subunit ribosomal RNA
Source: RNAcentral